CAGUCGCCGCGGUAAGACGAACCGUGCGAACGUUAUUCGGAAUCAUUGGGCUUAAAGCGCGUGUAGGCGGAUGGGAACGUCGGUCGCUGAAAUACCCCGGCUCAACCGGGGAACUGGCAUCGAAACGACCCGUCUCGAGGGGCAUAGGGGGAGCUGGAACUUCCGGUGGAGCGGUGAAAUGCGUUGAGAUCGGAAGGAACGCCCGUGGCGAAAGCGAGCUCCUGGAUGUCUUCUGACGCUGAGACGCGAAAGCUAGGGUAGCGAACGGGAUUAGAUACCCCAGUAGUCCCUGUCUCUUAUA
Molecule: ribosomal RNA, 301 nt
Filed under: uncultured bacterium
Lineage: Bacteria
Description: partial 16S ribosomal RNA
Rfam family: Bacterial small subunit ribosomal RNA
Source: RNAcentral